CCUACGGGGGGCAGCAGUGGGGAAUAUUGCACAAUGGGCGCAAGCCUGAUGCAGCCAUGCCGCGUGUGUGAAGAAGGCCUUCGGGUUGUAAAGCACUUUCAGCGGGGAGGAAGGCGUUAAGGUUAAUAACCUUGUCGAUUGACGUUACCCGCAGAAGAAGCACCGGCUAACUCCGUGCCAGCAGCCGCGGUAAUACGGAGGGUGCAAGCGUUAAUCGGAAUUACUGGGCGUAAAGCGCACGCAGGCGGUCUGUCAAGUCGGAUGUGAAAUCCCCGGGCUCAACCUGGGAACUGCAUUCGAAACUGGCAGGCUAGAGUCUUGUAGAGGGGGGUAGAAUUCCAGGUGUAGCGGUGAAAUGCGUAGAGAUCUGGAGGAAUACCGGUAGCGAAGGCGGCCCCCUGGACAAAGACUGACGCUCAGGUGCGAAAGCGUGGGGAGCAAACAGGAUUAGAUACCCUAGUAGUC
This 465-nucleotide ribosomal RNA is filed under the name uncultured Klebsiella sp. RNAcentral describes it as "bacterial SSU rRNA". It matches the Rfam family "Bacterial small subunit ribosomal RNA", at positions 338 to 795 of the family's 1533-position model. Lineage: Bacteria; Pseudomonadati; Pseudomonadota; Gammaproteobacteria; Enterobacterales; Enterobacteriaceae. The record is from RNAcentral.